AAUAACAAUAACAGUAAUAAUAUAUAAACAACAAAAAUAUCACUAAAACCUAGUACUUAUUUUUUGCUCUGUAUUGAAGAUAGGAAUACUGGUAACAAACAGCUUACACUUUAGUCUCUACAGUCAGGAAGAGCUCAUGUUAUUCUUGCAAUUAUCAAGAAAAAGGGCUGCAGAGGCAAUUUUCUCAGUCACCACUUGAAAACAGUUAUCAGACGCAGAUUCUGGGAUAGCACGUUCUGAACGGUUUACACAGAAACAGAAGAUCCGAUAACAAAAAUGUGUUUGCUGGAGAACUAAGGGCUGCUUAGCGGACAGACCUGGCGUGUUCUACUCUGGGCAAUACUGUGGAAAAUUCUAGACUUCGGCUGCAAUAGGAGAGACCUAUUCAGGAGAGAAGAUGGCUGUUACACACACACACACACACACCCCACCCCUUCACAGGGCAGGAGCUCCUUGUUAGGAAAAAAGCAAACGCUGACCAGAAGGCUGAGAGCUCUUUGACAGUCCAUCUCCCACAGACUAUUCACUAGAUUUUUUUAAAUCCCCAAGUGCAUGCAAAACAUCUGUAGGGCUGAAAAUAUGAAACAGGAACCGAGAGGGGCAGCAGCUUGUCUGCAGGUGGUCCGCAUCGCUGGUUUGUAAGGUUUUGUGCUAAUAAUGUAAUAGGUGUUUGCCUUCUUUUGGAGGUGAUUUCUACCUUCAAAGGACCACAUUUUUUUAACGAGAAAAGUUCUUUGGCUUUAUACAGCCCACCAACUACUCCUCUCCCCCUCCAGCUUCCCUGACUUUUUGCUCCGGACAUCCAACAGGGAGAGCUGUUGUACAGCAGCUACUAUCUCGUAACGGCAGCGUAAACCUCCACCUUCUCACCCCUCACAACUCUGGCAGCGGUGUCCUACGUGUUGUACAUUACCAAUGUAAAAAUCAAAAGUGCAGUGACCUUAAGGUCUGUGUAAAAUACACUGAACCGGACAUAAAAAUAAACAACAGAAAGAAGAAGUCAGAAAUUAUUCAUGUUUAUACUGGAGUAAAUAAAACCUUCCAUUUUUAAUUCAACUAAAUCUGCUGCAGGUUUUUCCAUUUCACCACCCCAGAAUAUCGCAGAAAGCUAAGGGCUCUGCAGUAUGAUUAAAGUUCAAUUUGUCACAGAGUGCAAGACCACAGUUGUCUUUACAUUACACAGUUACAAGAGCUGUGAAACUUUACAGCUCCACCAAACCCAGGACCUUCCACACCACUCAACAAUUUUUACAUUGACAAGAAGUCUUCAAAGAGGAAAGCAAGAAAGCCUUUUAUGUACAGUCAACACUGAAAAAUGGUGUACAUCCUUGUUUGAAAUACAUCUGUUGCCACCGGGAGAGUAUAACAGUUUCCACUGCUCUGCUAUCAAACUAAGGAGCUGCAAUCUACAGUUCAUUUUUAGCAGCUCUGCCAACUCUGUUCUAUUACUUCCGAGAAGUCCAUCCUACAGUGCCCCCAGCACAGAUCUCACAGGAACGCACGUUAUUUUAAAGCUGUGUGAGGACUGUGUGAGACUCCGGGCUCUGCUUCCUUUCAUUUUACAAACUACCAAGUGAUUUCUCACACAGGACAGGAACCCAAACGUGUCUGAAUACAGCAGCUUGAUCUCUGCUACCAUGUAUAUCCAAGUAACAAAUUUUUGCCCAUGCAUCUGACGUCAGAUGACUCUUUAAUAAAUACGUGCCAACACUUUUCUUUACGGGAAACACAGGCACUACUUGUUAUUUAUGCUUAGCCCAUAACACACCAUCCAGGCAGCAGUGUUCCCAUCUACUUUCACGUGUUGGUACAAAUGAGUUGGGCUCAUAGGACCUAUCUCUAGGCUCCCAAUGGCUUCAGUCAGGAUUUGUUCCAAUAAAAUCAGUGGAGAUGAAGUUAGCUGCAGUGGAAGAAGAUGUUUUCAAAGGAAAAGACCAU
Molecule: long non-coding RNA, 1938 nt
Organism: Falco peregrinus (peregrine falcon)
Lineage: Eukaryota; Metazoa; Chordata; Aves; Falconiformes; Falconidae
Exons: 3
Source: RefSeq, a predicted model, not a curated record